This 179-nucleotide long non-coding RNA is filed under the name Mustela putorius furo (domestic ferret). RNAcentral's name for it is "lncRNA (ENSMPUG00000025370.1)". Lineage: Eukaryota; Metazoa; Chordata; Mammalia; Carnivora; Mustelidae. The record is from RNAcentral.
UUCUUUUCUAAUCUUUGUGUCUUUCUUUUUUUCUUGCUAGGACUUCCAGUAUAAUAAUGUUGAAUAGGGGGAGGAAUAAGAUGGCAGAGGAGACCUAAAUUUCAUCUGAUCCCAGGAAUUCAGGUAACCAUCACCUGGAUCAUAACACAGAAUAUUUGCAGAUCUGCACAGGACUCCCU